GCUCGACAUUAAUGGUUGUCCGACUGCCCGGGACAACCAAAAGUUUGGUCAGGGCAAGUGAAUUUCAAAAGAACUUGUCCGACAGGGCAAGUGAAAAAAAUCAUAAGUAAACAUAUAAAAUUCCAAUAUUAUGACCAAUAAUCCUUGCAAAUUACAAUGUCAAUCUUAAUUAGACUUAAUUAGAACGGAUCACAUUUGUGGAGACGAUAAAUAACGAACCUCACAGCAGGGGCAAUUGUACAUGUACACAGGCUAUCCAGUUGUCUGAUGAAUAUGUCAAAACUUGAUUAACAUUAUUAAUUAUGUCAACACCUCUUCUUAUUAAAGGUGUUCAAACCCUGUUAAAGUUCAAAUCACAGCCUUGAACUUUGUUUAAUUUAGCCGUCUAAACAUUUGCCGAUUUCUGGCUGUUUAUUUUUGCUGUUAAAAUCUAAAAUUUAUCGUAUAUCCUCAAAGAAAAAACGUUUCUCCUGUAGAUAAUUCUAAAAAUAAUAACAAUUCAUCUGCAAAUGUGAUACAGAGACAUAUCCACAAGGAAAAAAGAUGUAAAUUUAGAAACAAAAUCGGUAAAUGAAAUUGUCACAUAUUUUCGCGACUUAAGAUGUGGUAAACACAAACAA
Long non-coding RNA from Ruditapes philippinarum (Manila clam), 620 nucleotides. RefSeq lists it as uncharacterized. The record is from RefSeq and is a predicted model, not a curated record. The transcript has 2 exons. Lineage: Eukaryota; Metazoa; Mollusca; Bivalvia; Venerida; Veneridae.